Molecule: ribosomal RNA, 432 nt
Filed under: uncultured bacterium
Lineage: Bacteria
Description: partial 16S ribosomal RNA
Rfam family: Bacterial small subunit ribosomal RNA
Source: RNAcentral
AGCGAACGCUGGCGGCAGGCCUAACACAUGCAAGUCGAACGAACUCUUCGGAGUUAGUGGCGGACGGGUGAGUAACCCGUGGGAACGUGCCUUUUGGUUCGGAAUAACUCAGGGAAACUUGUGCUAAUACCGAAUGUGCCCUUCGGGGGAAAGAUUUAUCGCCAUUAGAGCGGCCCGCGUCUGAUUAGCUAGUUGGUGGGGUAACGGCUCACCAAGGCGACGAUCAGUAGCUGGUCUGAGAGGAUGACCAGCCACACUGGGACUGAGACACGGCCCAGACUCCUACGGGAGGCAGCAGUGGGGAAUCUUGCGCAAUGGGCGAAAGCCUGACGCAGCCAUGCCGCGUGAAUGAUGAAGGUCUUAGGAUUGUAAAAUUCUUUCACCGGGGACGAUAAUGACGGUACCCGGAGAAGAAGCCCCGGCUAACUUCGU